Long non-coding RNA from Bos taurus (domestic cattle), 882 nucleotides. The record is from Ensembl. NCBI's taxonomy places the organism in Eukaryota, Metazoa, Chordata, Mammalia, Artiodactyla, Bovidae.
CAAAGGUCUAUAUUGCCAAACAACUCUGUUUUAAAUAUUAUCUUUGCUUCAUAUUCAUACCUGAUAGUCUUCUCUGAGGGUACCAAUCAAAGGUCAAGACCUUUUUCACAACAUCACUGAUCUUCCUUGAAAAUCCAUGGAGAGUGGAUAGAUCAGAUAGUGGAGUGGUAACUGAAGAAAUAAAGAGGAAGUUGCUCAGGACAGAAGAUAAAAACAUGAGACAAAGGAAACAAACUGCUCUUGGAUAGGGUGCUUCUGAGGCUGGGAUUCUUCCCAGGGAAGACCACGCUGCGGAUCUACUGCUGCAUAAGGAGCCAUGCCAAAAGGACCAGAAAAGGCUUUGGAGUUCCUAACUGGUUUGGGACCAGAGACGGGGAGCACUUAACCAGAUCCAGCUCCCUGACCAGGGAUUGAACUUGGGGCCCCUGCGUUGGAAGCAUCGAGUCCCAGCCUCUGGACAACCAGGGAAGUCCCUACAGCUCCAUUUUCAAUCAAGAACACUGAGGCUCAGUGGAGAGGUCCUGGUAAGGAACAAGGAACUAAUAAGCCACCACCAACCAGAAGAGUUCAGGAAAUGUCAAAAGGAGACACCACAUGUCCGACCACCUCCCAGAAUCCUCACUGGCAUCCAUCUUGGCUGAACAAGGUGUGCACCACCAGGAGGGAGUCUUAGUCAGAAUGACUGGAUAAAGACAACCCAGAAACUAAUCCCAUCACCAUAAAACCAAGACUGCAGCCAUGUGGCAGAGCAGUUCUCCUGUGUUCCCUUGCCCUACUGCUCUCCACCCAGGCACCCUUUCCCAAUAAAAUUUCUUGCUUUGUCUGCACAUGUAUCUCCUUUUACAAUUCAUUUCUGAGUGUUAGACAAGAGCCCAGUUUCAG